AGUGAACGCUGGCGGUAGGCCUAACACAUGCAAGUCGAACGGCAGCACAGUAAGAGCUUGCUCUUACGGGUGGCGAGUGGCGGACGGGUGAGGAAUACAUCGGAAUCUACUUUUUCGUGGGGGAUAACGUAGGGAAACUUACGCUAAUACCGCAUACGACCUACGGGUGAAAGCAGGGGAUCUUCGGACCUUGCGCGAUUGGAUGAGCCGAUGUCGGAUUAGCUAGUUGGCGGGGUAAAGGCCGACCAAGGCGACGAUCCGAAGCUGGUCUGAGAGGAUGAUCAGCCACACUGGAACUGAGACACGGUCCAGACUCCUACGGGAGGCAGCAGUGGGGAAUAUUGGACAAUGGGCGCAAGCCUGAUCCAGCCAUACCGCGUGGGUGAAGAAGGCCUUCGGGUGGUAAAGCCCUUUUGUUGGGAAAGAAAAGCAGCAGGUUAAUACCCCGCUGUUCUGACGGUACCCAAAGAAUAAGCACCGGCUAACUUCGUG
This 492-nucleotide ribosomal RNA is filed under the name uncultured bacterium. Its description in RNAcentral is "partial 16S ribosomal RNA". It matches the Rfam family "Bacterial small subunit ribosomal RNA", at positions 29 to 507 of the family's 1533-position model. The record is from RNAcentral.